This is a long non-coding RNA of Fundulus heteroclitus (mummichog), 272 nucleotides long. RefSeq lists it as uncharacterized. Lineage: Eukaryota; Metazoa; Chordata; Actinopteri; Cyprinodontiformes; Fundulidae. The transcript is spliced from 2 exons. The record is from RefSeq and is a predicted model, not a curated record.
UUCUGCAGAGGAACAGGAUGUGUCAGAAAAGCGGGCUGAGCAGGCAGCUCUGCACAGCUAACUGGAAGUGCUGUGUGCCGCAUGAAAAGCUCAGGAGGAAACUGACAAUAUGUUCUACCUUCAAGAGAACAAAGGAGUGUUUUGGAGGAGCGGAGAACGGCUGCGUCACAAAGGCUCCAAAGUCUUGUUGCUCAAAUCCAGGAGGCCAAGGAGCUGAAGUCUGGUGAGGGUGGAGCACAACCUUCAAAGCGUGCCCCUAAAAGAAGACCAAG